GAACGCGAAGAACCUUACCUGGUCUUGACAUGUACGGAAUCCUCCAGAGACGGAGGAGUGCCUUUGGGAGCCGUAACACAGGUGCUGCAUGGCUGUCGUCAGCUCGUGUCGUGAGAUGUUGGGUUAAGUCCCGCAACGAGCGCAACCCUUGUCAUUAGUUGCCAUCAUUCAGUUGGGCACUCUAAUGAGACUGCCGGUGACAAGCCGGAGGAAGGUGGGGAUGACGUCAAGUCCUCAUGGCCCUUAUGACCAGGGGCUUCACACGUCAUACAAUGGUCGGUACAGAGGGUAGCCAAGCCGCGAGGUGGAGCCAAUCUCACAAAACCGAUCGUAGUCCGGAUUGCACUCUGCAACUCGAGUGCAUGAAGUCGGAAUCGCUAGUAAUCGCAGGUCAGCAUACUGCGGUGAAUACGUUCCCGGGUCUUGUACACACC
This 434-nucleotide ribosomal RNA is filed under the name uncultured bacterium. Its description in RNAcentral is "bacterial SSU rRNA". It matches the Rfam family "Bacterial small subunit ribosomal RNA", at positions 957 to 1391 of the family's 1533-position model. The record is from RNAcentral.